This 6794-nucleotide long non-coding RNA is filed under the name Olea europaea subsp. europaea. The record is from RNAcentral. Lineage: Eukaryota; Viridiplantae; Streptophyta; Magnoliopsida; Lamiales; Oleaceae.
UUAUUAUCAAUUUCUUUUAAAGUUAAAUUCAGUUCAGUUAAAUUAUUUUAGUAGCAUGGUAUAUUCUUAUUACACGUUUCAGUAUAGUUAAAGCUAUUUCUAAAAACCACCAGAAAGUACCAAGGUGAUUUUACCCCAGUUUGCACUGAUGUGAAUGUGUUUCCACAGUGUAUGACUAGUUAUGGUGAUUUUACCCGUUCUGCACUAUUGUGAAUGUGUUUCCAUAGUGUAUGACCAGAUUAUUAGAGGUCUUUGGGACCCACUCUCGUACACACAUAGGCUUUGGGCCGUGUACUAGGGUGAUUAGCCUUUGGGGCAGCUCUGCGUACGUAUGACCAGAUUAUCAGAUUUGAAUGGCUUUACCUUGUACAUCGAGAUUACUCUGUACAUGAGUAAGGCUAUUCAUUGGGUACUCUUUUUGGUAUGAUUGUUCAGUAUUUAUUCAGUUCUCAGACUUCAGAUUAUGGAAUUCAGUUAAUUCAGUUUUCAGAAUAAAGCUUUCAGCUUAAAGUAUUGAGCAGCAGCAAUAUUUCAUAGAUUUUCAUGAAUAUCAGAUUCUUUAUAUUUGUUAUACCUUACAAAUACUUUUCUAGAAUUUAGAACGAAGAAUUUUAUAAUGUAAUUAUGUUUAGUUUUUAAAAGUAUUACUAGAUUCAGAAAUUCUCAAGGAUUGAAUAAAGUUAAAAUUUUUAGAAAAUAUGCAUCAAUGGAAAAAGUUUACUUAUUUGCAAAUCAUCCACUCACUGAGUUACAAUCUCAUAUUUUUAUCACCAUUUUUCUUAGCAGAUGUUAGCUACGUUGAGCGACAUUGGAGCCUGUCGAUCUGCGAGUCGAGCCACAUGGUGUAUUUAUUGUAUGUCUAGUCUUGUCAGUACAUACAUUAUAUAUUUUUGGGACUGAUGCAUUUUUAUCAGAAAAUGUAUUUAUAUCAUGGGUUCGCUGUAUAUUUUUAUAUAUGUUUUGCAAUUGGGGUUACCUGGUUCGAAAGGAGUGUAAAUUUCUUUCCAGUACACUUAUUUUGAACAGUUUGUAUUUCGAGGGACUAGUGUGUCCUAUUUUAAAUUAUAUGUAUGGAUUUGAGAAAAUUUAUUUUUGUUUAGGCGGAUUUAGUCCAUUUUUCAAAGUAAACUUUGUCAAAAUUCUUUUAAAAUAUUUUUCGUUCAAGCAAGUCAAGGUUGCCUUGGUGGUGGGUCCAACAUUUAGCUGGUAUCUACCAUCGGCACACGACACGUGUCGAGUCAAUUAAGGUGAUUCGGGACGGGUCGUGUCAAUUGGUAUCAGAGCAUGAUCAUAAAGUCAGCUUGCAUUACAUUAUUUGAUUUUGCUUUCAACAUGUCAUACAUAUUUUGUAGUUGGAGGUCAUGGCUCGUGUGGUAAUACUCGCAGGCUCCUUGAUGUGCUGCCUCAACCACAAGUUACUUCUGAUUGAGAUGACAUUAGAGAGGUCAGUAAGGUUGAUGAAUCAGUUUAUCAGGCCUAUGAGUAGUAACAUGGGGAUGUAGCUCAGGUGGUAGAGUGUUUAAUGUUACGAGUUGUCCCGAUGAUCGAAAAUUACUUCUUACUAUUGGAAUGUAUGGAAAUUAAAAUGAUGGAAGAAUAUUUUUAAUAGAUUCAGAAAUGACUAGUAUGUAAUUAUGUCAGUUGAAAAAAAUUUAAUGGUUGACAAGGUUACAAGUUGUGUUGGUAUACUGAUGUAUGUAACAUAUUAAGAAAUGAACAGAUUAUCAAUUUGAAGUGAAAGUUUUAAGGGUUUCAAAGGUUGUUUACAUAUAGAUAUUCGAAGUGAUAGAUAAAGGGAUUGAUAUUAUGGGUAAUUCAUGACAAUCAUAUGACGAGUCUUAAAUAUCUUGGGAAAAUAAAUGAUCAUUAGCAUCAUCGGAGAUUGUGGUAAUUUGUAACCACUUAUAUGAAAGGAUGAUAAAAAUUAUGGUGAUAUGUAUCUAUUUAUAUGAUAAGAAUCUUGUGGAUGAUAAAUGAUGAUAUUAUACUGUAUAUUUAACGGCAGAGAAUAAUGUGUUAUUAUGUAUGUUAUUCAUUGAGGAAAUUGACAUUUAUGUGACUCCGAUCAUUUUGACUAUUGAUGGGUUAUUUGAUUAUAAGAGAUGUGAAAAAGAUAUGGAUAGACUUCAGAAGGAUUACCUAUUGUGGGGUAAAUUGUUGUUUAAGAAAGAAAAUAUUGAAUCAGUGUAUUUAUGUUAAUUGGGUAAAAGGUAUGAAAGGUGUGAGUUGAUUAAAUGUACAUGGAUUGUAAUUCUUGAGUUAUAGUAAAAUAAUCAUAUAUUGUAUUAAAGAAAAAGAAAAGAGUGUGAUUGGUAUAUUUCAUAAAUAUGCAUGUAUGGCUUGAGGAAUAGAAUGAGACUAGAAAGAAAAAUAAAUGAUGACAGAGGCCAAAUUAAUGGUAAUUGAAAAAUGAGCAUACAUAAUCUUGAUGGUACAUUAAUGUGUGUAAUGUCACUAGAUAGUUAUAGAGCACUAUUUUUGUGACCCUAAGGAAAUAAGUAUAAUAAAAUGUUUGAAGUUAUACAACGUGACUAUAAAUGACGAGGUUACAUGAGAUGUGGAUAGCAAGUGAAGAAAUGUUAUGGUUAUCCUAUAGCCAAAUAAUGAGAUGAGAUAUUUGGAUUAUUAAGUUAAUUAACUUUGUUAAGGUCAUUGGUGGAUUAUUGUGUUAUAUUACAUAUAAUUUAGAAGCUCUGAGCUAAAUUUGAGAAGUUAAGGUGAAUUUAAAUGAAUUUUUAGUAAUGUGAAGUUUGGGUUAUUUUCGAUUGUAUUUUGGAUAUCAAGAAUAAAGUAUUCCAUUCUUAUUGAGAUCUGUAUGUUGUGGAAUAUAUGGAGGAUAUGUUGGAUGGUUUUAAGUCUAAGAUAAUCAUCACAUGUAAAUUUUAUUCGAUUGUGGAAUGGUGUCUUUAGGUUAUAAUCUUGAUUGAAGGUUUUUGUGCAAUAUACAAGAAGGCUUAUGCAUUUGGUAAUUGGUCAAUGACCUCUUUGUGGAAUAAGAGUAUAGAAUUAUCAUGUAUUAAAUGUUAUUACUAAUCUUCAUAGAAAGAAAGAGCACCAAAAUUUUGUGGGUUUAGAAAUGUCAAAAGUUUUGUUAUCAGUUUACAUGAUGAACAUGAUGAUGAAAUAUGUAAUCACGUUCUAUAGUUGGUGAGGGCAUAAUUUAUGAUAAUGGAUUACGUCAGGAUUUUGAAAGUAUUCUGAAGUAAGUAAUUAAUUAUGGAUUAUACUAUAGAUUGUUAUAGAGGCAUGAGUAAGACAUGAUUUAUAGUUGGUUAUACUGGGGUGAAUUUAAGAAUUGUGGUGUUAUGACAUUGCAAGAGCAUUGAUACUUAUAUAUCACCGUAGUUUAAGGUAUAUUUCAAUUUGAAAGGGUUGAAAUUGAAGUUGUACGUAUAUAUAUAUAUAUAUUAUCGUUGGGUGAUACAAAAUUAACGGAAAAGAACAUCAUAUUGAGCUCUAUCAAUUGUUGUUAGGAAUAGUUAGAAUUUUAGAAAAUUGUGAAUAAUUGAAUUUUUGCAAAUAUUGUCAAGUUAGAAUUGGAUUAGUUACCCUUAAAUAUUUUUCAUUUUGGGGUUUCAAGUAUACGGAAUUACGAUAAAAUGGUAUUUUGAUCAUGAUUGACAGAUUGAUAAAGGUUACAAGAUUCUUUUCUUAUAAGAUAAUCGGUUCAUGAGAUAAAUUUAUGAAUAUAUAAAUAAGAUUUUUAUUUAUUUGGUGGAGUUUGAGUAUUCAUCUUUGACUUAGUUCUAGAAAGUUAUAUAAUUAAAUUACAUUGUGUAGCUUCUUAGAAUGUCAGACACUUUAAGGACAAUUUCAGAAGACAGACUAUCAACUACAGUUUGUUAAUUAAAGAGGACUUGGAUAAUUAUUUAUUUUCACGGAAAUGAUAUAUCAGAACUAAAUACAAGUGACGACAUUUAAGGUUAUACUUAGAUGGUGGAAUAUUCUAAGGACAUUUAUUGCGAUGACAUUAGCGAAAGAAUGUUAUUUGGUCUUAGUAGGUAGCCAUUGUUAUACAAAAAGGGAGUUGAUUAGAAAAUAGUUCAAAUCAUGACAUAAGAUAAAGUUUUGAAGAAUAUGAAAGUAGUAUCUUGAACUUUAAAUUGGAAAUUAGUGGAAUUUUUCUAAGAUUUGGUAAAAUUAAAGUUGGGAAUAUCAUAUAUUGCUUUUGAGAUGUUGUUUAAAACUUGCGUUCAAUUGUUUAAUGAUGGAGUUUACAAUGGGUAUAUCUGAUAUUUAAGAAUGUAUUGUGUUAUUUCUAAGGCUUAGUAGAUAUCAGAAUUAACUGAUGCUUUAAGAUUACUAGUGGAAUUAUAGAGAUCUCAACUUAGUAAAAGCCAAAUAAGAUUCAAGAUAUGAAAGAAUGAGUCGUGUCUAGCUAAAGGUUGUUGCAGAAAUCACUCAUUAUGUGUGUUUUAUAUCCUGAAGUGUUCACAAUCUAGUUUAUUGAAUUUCGAGGACGAAAUUCUUCUUAGGAGGUAAGAUUGUUACAACCCAAUUUUCUUAGUCAAAAAUCAAAAGUUGACUCGUCAAAGUCAAAAUCAAAUAAGGACUAAAAUGUAAUAAAAUAUUUUAUUUGGGUUAUUUUAUAUAUUGGCAAUAUAUGAGAGUUAAGUUGGAUACAAUUUAAAGUUGGGGAUUUACUACUUUCUAUUAAUGGAAGUUAAAAGGAUUAAAUGUCAUAUUAAAUUGAAGAUGAGGGGCUUCCAUGCAAAUUUUUGAUAGUGGAUUACAAAUGUCAACUUAACAAUCCAUUGUUCCAUUUCACAUUACAUAUAUACACAUAUAGACGGCAGAAAGAACCAGAGAAACCGAGAGAGACCGAGGAAAGAAAAAAAAAAGAAAAAAAGAAAAGAAAAAAAAAAAGAAAGUGCUGGCGGCGAUAUGUAGGAGGCGAGAUGUUUUUUUUUCAAGUAUUGGGUUGUCUUUCAUAGCCUCAUUGUUUCUACAAUCACAAGUAGGUAAGUUUUAUACAAACUUAAAUUUCUUAUUUGGCUCCAAUAAGUGAUAAAGAAGUUCAAAUUCUUGAUGGUUUAGUAUGGGUAAACCAUUUUGAAGCUUUUAAGUUAUGUGAAUCAAAUAUUUACGAAUUUUCGGGUUGGAGCUUUGUGAAAAAAAAAAAAAAAAAUCAGUAAUUAAAUGGGGUUAAAAUUGAAAUUUAAAUAAAGAAAUCAAAAGGCAGGUGAGGAUUUGAGUCAAUUAAUGAAUUGUUUUGGCACAUGUAUAUGUCUAGUGGUUGGAAGUAUUAAGAAGGGAACAUACUUAAUUGCAUAGCUUGAUGUUAUUGUGGAAGUAGUAAACUGAUGAAGAAGAGAUGAAUUGUGUUUAAUUGGAAUUCAAUUUAGCCUGAAUGUGGUAUGUUCCUGAUUUAGUAAUUUUGAUAUUACAGAGCAAAAUAAAAAGGGAUAGUAUUUAUAGUGUAAAUUCAAGAUGUUGGAAGGUAGUAUGUUAUUGUGCCAAUGUAGUGGGGAAAUGAAUGUGGAAAACAUAUUCUGUAAAUAAAUCGGUAAAUGAGACUAUGUUCUGCCAUAUGGAAAUUAAAAAGGGAAUAAAGCGAUUUAAUAAGGAAUGGAUUAAGUUGUAUAUAGAGGUUGUAUGUUUAUAAAGUAGUGAUUUAAGAAAGUACAGUAAAUUAAUGGAUUUGAUUAUGUGGGAUGACUGGUUGGUAAAUAAUCAAAGAGAAGUAAAGUUUGGAAAAUGAUAGUUUUCAUGAAAUACUCACAUGAAAGGAAGAUUUUAUGGAACAAGAUGUGUAUUAAAUGGGAGGAAUUAUGGUUAUUAGUUUUCAUUAGAUUGGAAAGUAUAAUUAUUUUAUGUUUGGGAUGAAAGUAAUUUUGAUAAAUUAAAAAUUAGUGAAGGAGUUAGUGAGUAGAAUUAUCUCCAAUUGAUUAAAGAAAAAUUGGGGAAUUCAUUCAAGUAUCGAGAAAUGGAGAUUCAAGAGAAAAUUUGAAAGUUGAGGAAUUAACUGGUGAAUUUGCUUUAGUUUAACUGUCAUAUUUUAAUUUGAGUUGUUAUACAAUUAUUUCAGGUAGUGACGUGGAAGCUUGGAGAUGCCGUCAAUUUAGCCAAGAUUUCUAUCCAUAAAUCAGUGAGUGGAUAAAACUUAUUUUUCAGAAAUAAGUCUUCCUUAAAUUUUAAAGUUAUUUAUUUUAUAAAGUUGACUUCAUAGCAUGAUUUUCAGAAUAAAAUCGAUUUUAUUAUCAAUUUCUUUUAAAGUUAAAUUCAGUUCAGUUAAAUUAUUUUAGUAGCAUGGUAUAUUCUUAUUACAUGUUCCAGUAUAGUUAAAGUUAUUUCUAAAAACCACCAGAAAGUACCCAGGUGAUUUUACCCCAGUUUGCACUGAUGUGAAUGUGUUUCCACAGUGUAUGACUAGUUAUAGUGAUUUUACCCGCUCUGCACGAUCGUGAAUGUGUUUCCAUAGUGUAUGACCAGAUUAUCAGAGGUCUUUGGGACCCACUCUCGUACACACAUAGGCUUUGGGCCGUGUACUAGGGUGAUUAGCCUUUGGGGCAGCUCUGCGUACGUAUGACCAGAUUAUCAGAUUUGAAUGGCUUUACCUUGUACAUCGAGAUUACUCUGUACAUGAGUAAGGCUAUUCAUUGGGUACUCUUUUUGGUAUGAUUGUUCAGUAUUUAUUCAGUUCUCAGACUUCAGAUUAUGGAAUUCAGUUAAUUCAGUUUUCAGAAUAAAGCUUUCAGCUUAAAGUAUUGAGCAGCAGCAAUAUUUCAUAGAUUUUCAUGAAUAUCAGAUUCUUUAUAUUUGUUAUACCUUACAAAUACUUUUCUAGAAUUUAG